UACGUAGGGUGCAAGCGUUGUCCGGAAUUAUUGGGCGUAAAGAGCUCGUAGGCGGUCUGUCGCGUCGGCUGUGAAAUCCCGAGGCUCAACCUCGGGUCUGCAGUCGAUACGGGCAAACUAGAGUAUUGCAGGGGAGACUGGAAUUCCUGGUGUAGCGGUGAAAUGCGCAGAUAUCAGGAGGAACACCGGUGGCGAAGGCGGGUCUCUGGGCCGAUACUGACGCUGAGACGCGAAAGCGUGGGGAGCGAACAGG
RNAcentral lists this ribosomal RNA (253 nucleotides) under uncultured bacterium. Its description in RNAcentral is "partial 16S ribosomal RNA". It matches the Rfam family "Bacterial small subunit ribosomal RNA", at positions 524 to 776 of the family's 1533-position model. The record is from RNAcentral.